GACGAACGCUGGCGGCGUGCUUAACACAUGCAAGUCGAACGGAAAGGCCCUGCUUUUGUGGGGUGCUCGAGUGGCGAACGGGUGAGUAACACGUGAGUAACCUGCCCUUGACUUUGGGAUAACUUCAGGAAACUGGGGCUAAUACCGGAUAGGAGCUCCUGCUGCAUGGUGGGGGUUGGAAAGUUUCGGCGGUUGGGGAUGGACUCGCGGCUUAUCAGCUUGUUGGUGGGGUAGUGGCUUACCAAGGCUUUGACGGGUAGCCGGCCUGAGAGGGUGACCGGGCACAUUGGGACUGAGAUACGGCCCAGACUCCUACGGGAGGCAGCAGUGGGGAAUAUUGCACAAUGGGCGGAAGCCUGAUGCAGCAUCGCCGCGUGCGGGAUGACGGCCUUCGGGUUGUAAACCGCUUUCGCCUGUGACGAAGCGUGAGUGACGGUAAUGGGUAAAGAAGCACCGGCUAACUACGUG
RNAcentral lists this ribosomal RNA (468 nucleotides) under uncultured bacterium. RNAcentral describes it as "partial 16S ribosomal RNA". It matches the Rfam family "Bacterial small subunit ribosomal RNA", at positions 28 to 507 of the family's 1533-position model. The record is from RNAcentral.